GACGAACGCUGGCGGCGUGCUUAACACAUGCAAGUCGAACGGAAAGGCCCUGCUUUUGUGGGGUGCUCGAGUGGCGAACGGGUGAGUAACACGUGAGUAACCUGCCCUUUACUUUGGGAUAACUUCAGUAAACUGGGGCUAAUACCGGAUAUGAGCUCCUUCUGCAUGGUGGGUGUUGGAAAGUUUCGGCGGUUGGGGAUGGACUCGCGGCUUAUCAGCUUGUUGGUGGGGUAGUGGCUUACCAAGGCUUUGACGGGUAGCCGGCCUGAGAGGGUGACCGGCCACAUUGGGACUGAGAUACGGGCAAGACUGCUACGGGAGGAAGCAGUGGGGAAUAUUGCACAAUGGACGGAAGCAUGAUGCAGCAACGCCGCGUGCGGGAUGACGGCCUUCGGGUUGUAAACCGCUUGAGCCUGUGACGAAGAGUGAGUGACGGUAAUGGGUAAAGAAGCACCGGCUAACUACGUG
Molecule: ribosomal RNA, 468 nt
Filed under: uncultured bacterium
Lineage: Bacteria
Description: partial 16S ribosomal RNA
Rfam family: Bacterial small subunit ribosomal RNA
Source: RNAcentral